CCAAGCAGAGGCAGUGCAGAGCUCUGAGUUUAGAGGUGUCUGACUUGAUUGCCUGCAGUGCUAAUUGAAUUGAGUGUCAUCAGUGUAAAUAUUUUGCAUUCUCUUGCUUCACUGGAUAGCAUUUAACCUGGGGUAUUGUGAAGCUGAGAAAUACAAAUGUGCUGUUUGUUACAGAGAGGGUAUUUUUUGGAACUGCUGUGCAAACAAAUGUGGUGGGCACCUGCAGUGAUGUCACUAAACUUGGUGUGGACUGUGAGUUAAUAUCGUGUAGAAGUGGCUUAUAAAUCGCUGCUGCUUCCAGGCCCCAUGGCCUCUAAUAGCAGCAUGUCCCUCCACCCUCCUAGGAGCAGAGGGGUGGGCAGCUCAGAUAAUAGAGCUGCUCUGCCCAUCUCCUCUCUUUCACUGAAGAGCAAGGCAAGACAUGACAGAGCAGCAAGUGAGAUCUGGACAUCUCUGCACAAGUCAUUACCAGAUGGAAAACAGUGGAGGGACUAUCCGGGUGCUGUUGACCUGACUCCAAUACCCUAAAGAUUAGGCAACUGAGAACAACCUUCUGUCUGAACUCUACACCGUGGUCCCAACUGAAUAAUUUCCCUGGCCUGUGUUAAGACAUCACUACACCACAAAAAAGGACCAUGUAAAGGUGACUGAUGACUACUCUUCUCUCCAGCUGCUCAUGAUGCCUCAGUUCUUGUGGGUCCUGCAAUACUGAGGGAGUAGCUGGAAGAAGCAAAGACAUUUUUCUUCAGGCAGGAAGUUAUUUAAUCCUCUUAAUAGUGAUAUUUUGACUUUGGGAUUAUCUCAACAACUAAUCACUGUUAAGUUUGUGUAUGAAAGUUUUGGAGAAAUUAGUAUUUAAAACUACUAGGAAGGAGGGAGAACAGUGGUUUAUAACGGGAGGGAAGGAGUAUUUGUCUUGAGUAUUUGUGUCGAGUAUUUGUCUCAUAAUUUAUUGGCAGACUUAGUCUUUUGGGCAAUAAUUUUGAUGUACGAUUAUGGGAUGCCCUUUUUCAGUGAAAAACAUGAUUAUCUAAGGUUGUUUUUAAGAAUUACAAGACAGAUAUAUUGAUAACCUAACUACGAAGUUAACAAAUUCUGCAGACGUGUAUAAAAUAUAUUUUACACAUGGUUUUGGCAUCAAAUCCAGAAUGUCAUUAAGGGUCCUGGUCAUCAGAAAUUUUACUUCUUUGACUGUAUUACUUUGUGGAGUUUCAAUAUGGCCACCUAGUCCUGGGAAAAAAACUACCCACAACACCUUAGACCAUAGUGGAUGAUCCUUCUGCAACUUGUAACCUGGCAAGAACCACAUGUCUGUGUAGCUCCAUUUGUGUGGAGAACUUUGCUGCUGAUUUCACGGGGAUUUCUCACUGGAAUAAACUUAGGAACUGUGUAUAUUCAUAACCAUGCUUCUUGAUGAAUAGAGACUUCUUUUGUAGCUUCAAAGGUAAAUUGAAGAAUUCAAGUACAUCCAUCCUU
Long non-coding RNA from Columba livia (rock pigeon), 1476 nucleotides. RefSeq lists it as uncharacterized. Lineage: Eukaryota; Metazoa; Chordata; Aves; Columbiformes; Columbidae. The transcript has 3 exons. The record is from RefSeq and is a predicted model, not a curated record.